Molecule: long non-coding RNA, 685 nt
Organism: Microtus ochrogaster (prairie vole)
Lineage: Eukaryota; Metazoa; Chordata; Mammalia; Rodentia; Cricetidae
Exons: 3
Source: RefSeq, a predicted model, not a curated record
GGGCUAGGGUCGCGGAGGCGGAAGUGACUCGGCGGGGCUCGGAAGCAUGGGCUUUGGCGUUGCCUAGGGUUCACUGGGGCGAGCGAUAAGCAAGCAAUCCUUGCGUUGGCAUCACAGGCUCAGUCUUGCGUAUUCUGGCCAGGGCUUUCUCGCAGCUCCUACAGACGGACCUCAGCCUUGCAUCAUGUGGCCCUCUGAAAGCAUGGAGCUUAUUGCUCCGAAGCCAACAGGAGAGCUUCUCCCAAUUCUGCUACUACUGCUGUUACAGCUGCUUACAACAGCUAUUAUCGUUGCUAGAGUCUUAUAUUCAAUGUGACAUCAUAGGUGAAAUGAUUAUACUCUGUUUGCUGUAUUACAUAACCUAAUAAAAAGGAGGGACAUCCCGUUAUACUAAGUGCGUCAGGAAUCUUAAGAGCCAUUUUUAGGUCUCACCAGCCAUGGUUCUUGAAUGGGUAUCUGCUGUCAGCACAUGAAAUCCUUCUUAAACAGGUUGUCUGCUUUUUUUUUUUUUUGACAUUCUUUUGGGAACAGCCACUAAUUUAUUAGUGUACUUAGAAAUUAUGAAUUUCCAAUGUGAAUCUACAUCGACACUCAUGUCUCACAGACUUCAAAGGGACAUCUCUGAGCAUGUUUUGUGACACAGAGUUUUCCUUACAAUUUAAAAUAAAUGUACUCUAAGAAAUGA